Long non-coding RNA from Mustela lutreola (European mink), 944 nucleotides. RefSeq lists it as uncharacterized. The transcript has 5 exons. NCBI's taxonomy places the organism in Eukaryota, Metazoa, Chordata, Mammalia, Carnivora, Mustelidae. The record is from RefSeq and is a predicted model, not a curated record.
CUGCUUCCGGUGACGUCGCAGGCGGCGCCGUCGGUGGUCCGGAAAGUGGCUCAGGUGAAGUCCUCUUUGACGUGUCUUUUGUUGUCUACCUUUGUACCUGUGGACGGAGAGCGAGCAGAGCCUCGCAGGUUUCCUUUACCUACGCCCAACAUGCCCAAGGUGAAUGAAGAAAGGGAAUGAGUACCGGCAUCCUGGAAGAAAAUGUCAUAGGGUCAGCUUUCUGUAAGAAGCAGUGACUGCUGAUAAAAGAUCUCAUCUAGAACAUUAAAAUCAAUAUACAAUGUGAUUUUUAAGAAAUCAAGUGAUGAAAUUCUUCUCAUUUACAAUGAGCCAGGCAGUUUCUGUGACAGUGGACUGUCUGCCUAUACACAAACUUGGUUCCUGCUGUCAUGGUUAGACAACUACAAGCCAUUACUGAUUCAGUCAACAAACAACUGAAGGAUCAAAUAAGGAAGAGGCAUUUGUCUUGGUUGUUGUCUGAAACCUUUUAUUGGCAUCUUCUUACAAGAUCAAAAUAGCACCAACAUCAAAACUUGCAAAAUGGGUGUCAGUGUCUAGGAAGAAAAUCCUUAAGACAGAAGAAGGGCACUCGUCUGUGACAUGCUGCCUCACCCAUGCUCAUGGUGGCACAGAGGAGAUACUGGAUGGAAAAACAGAGGCAUCUAUCAUGAAGAGUUGAAAAGUGAUUCAAAGGAGUCAAGCCAAUCAUGAAGCUUAAAUGCUCUCCAUUACACCCCAAUGUUCACAGCAACAAUGUCCAUGAUAGCCAAACUGUGGAAAGAGCUGAGAUGCCCUUCAACAGAUGAAUGGAUAAAGAUGUGGGCCAUAUACACAAUGGAAUAUUACUCAGCCGUGAGAAAGGAUGAAUACCCCACUUUUGCAUCCGCAUGGACAGGACUGGAGGAGACUAUGCUAAGUGAAAUAAAUCAAGCAGAGAAAGUCAA